Molecule: small RNA, 27 nt
Filed under: Bombyx mori (domestic silkworm)
Lineage: Eukaryota; Metazoa; Arthropoda; Insecta; Lepidoptera; Bombycidae
Description: ovarian small RNA-17994
Source: RNAcentral
GUUUCGUGAUAGCUGAUGUGUCAAAAA